Molecule: ribosomal RNA, 429 nt
Filed under: Pseudomonadota bacterium
Lineage: Bacteria; Pseudomonadati; Pseudomonadota
Description: Proteobacteria bacterium partial 16S ribosomal RNA
Rfam family: Bacterial small subunit ribosomal RNA
Source: RNAcentral
UGGGGAAUAUUGGACAAUUGGCGAAAGCCUGAUCCAGCCAUGCCGCGUGUGUGAAGACGGUCUUCGGAUUGUAAAUCACUUUAAGUUGGGAGGAAGGGCAGUAAGCGAAUACCUUGCUGUUUUGACGUUACCGACAGAAUAAGCACCGGCUAACUCUGUGCCAGCAGCCGCGGUAAUACAGAGGGUGCAAGCGUUAUUCGGAAUUACUGGGCGUAAAGCGUGCGUAGGUGGUUCGUUAAGUUGAAUGUGAAAGCCCCAGGCUCAACCUGGGAACUGAAUCCAGAACUGGCGAGCUGGAGUAGGGCAGAGGGUGGUGGAAUUUCCUGUGUAGCGGUGAGAUGCGUGGAUAUAGGAAGGAACACCAGUGGCGAAGGAGACCACCUGGGCUCAUACUAACACUGAAGUGCGAAAGCGUGGGGAGCAAACAGG